RNAcentral lists this ribosomal RNA (395 nucleotides) under uncultured bacterium. RNAcentral's name for it is "partial 16S ribosomal RNA". It matches the Rfam family "Bacterial small subunit ribosomal RNA", at positions 523 to 918 of the family's 1533-position model. The record is from RNAcentral.
AUACGUAGGGUGCAAGCGUUAAUCGGAAUUACUGGGCGUAAAGCGUGCGCAGGCGGUUUUGGAAGACAGGGGUGAAAUCCCCGGGCUCAACCUGGGAACUGCCAUUGUGAAUGGCAGGAUGGAGGGCGGGAGAGGGGGAUGGAAUUACGCGUGUAGCAGUGAAAUGCGUAGAUAUGCGGAGGAACACCGAUGGCGAAGGCAAUCCCCUGGGCCUGCACUGACGCUCAUGCACGAAAGCGUGGGGAGCAAACAGGAUUAGAUACCCUGGUAGUCCACGCCCUAAACGAUGUCAACUGGUUGUUGGGGAUUUAUUUUCUCAGUAACGAAGCUAACGCGUGAAGUUGACCGCCUGGGGAGUACGGCCGCAAGGUUAAAACUCAAAUGAAUUGGCGGGG